This is an RNA transcript of Carassius gibelio (silver crucian carp), 2316 nucleotides long. RefSeq lists it as uncharacterized. The record is from RefSeq and is a predicted model, not a curated record. The transcript is spliced from 9 exons. Lineage: Eukaryota; Metazoa; Chordata; Actinopteri; Cypriniformes; Cyprinidae.
AGCAGAACAGAAACAAAGAGCGUGGAGCUGCUGCACUCUUCAGCUCGAGCUCUGAUCUGAUAUUGUGUGGUUUGUUAAAGUCGCGCAUCAUCGAGUGAAAGAUGUUGCUUCUGUCGCUGCUGCUGAUCAUCGGUCCUCUGGUUCUCACGGUGUUUUUCCCGUAUUUCUGGACAGAUCUUGUAUAUCACACAGACCUGUUGCGCAUUUUACUCAAGUUCGUGUCCCGCAGAAGAAGGCGACCCCUGUUUUUGGCUUUGGACCGGUUUUUGGAGCAAGUCGAAACGCGCCCGAACAAGGCGUUUAUCGUUUUCGAGAAUAAACGGUACUCGUUUAAAGACGCAGACCGAGAGAGCAACCGAAUAGCAAACGCGUUACGGGUCGCGUCGGUUCUACGUCCGGGGGACACGGUGGUUCUGUUCAUGCAGAACGAGCCUGCGUUCAUCUUCUGCUGGCUCGCGCUGGCCAAGCUCGGCUGCGCAUGCGCACUCCUCAACAGCAGCAUCCGCGCGCGGAGCCUGAUCGCGUGCGCGCGCUGCUGCCGAGGCGCCACCGUCCUGAUCGCGUCCGAAGAGCUGCAGGGAGCCGUGGAGGAGGUGUAUGAAGACCUCGUGCAGGAGGGACUGACCACGAUCUUCAUCACGGCUGAAGAGCUCCGAUCAUCAUCAAUGAAGAGUUUGAUCCGAGCGGCGCAGGAAUCCUCAGACGCUGAUGUUCCUCAGACGCUCAGAGCAGACGUGUCCUUCACAUCUCCGGCCGUCUACAUCUACACGUCUGGAACCACAGGUCUUCCUAAAGCAGCAGUGAUCACUCAAACACGUCUCCUCGCUGCUCUCGCUGUGCUGGCGUCAAACGGUGUAACAGAUUCUGAUGUGGUUUACGUCACUCUUCCUUUAUAUCACACUGCAGGCUUCCUCGUGGGCUUCAUGGGCUCCAUAGAGACAGGUUCUACUAUAAUUUUGCGCCGGAAGUUCUCUGCGUCUCAGUUCUGGGACGAGUGUCGGGCUCAUAAUGUGACGGUGAUUCAGUACAUCGGCGAGGUUCUGCGUUAUCUGUGUAACACACCGCAGAGAGCGAGCGAUAAGGAGCACGCCGUGCGUUUGGCCGUCGGGAACGGGCUCCGCUCAGACGUAUGGAGGGAAUUCCUCAAGCGCUUCGGUCACAUUCAAGUUCGGGAGUUUUACGCCUCCACAGAGGGAAAUGUGGGUUUCGUGAACUACGCUGGAAAGAUCGGCGCUGUUGGACGGGUCAGCUUUCUGCACAAGAAACUGUUUCCCUAUACUCUCAUUCAGUACGACACAGAGCAUGACGAGCCGGUGAGAAACUCCAGAGGUCUGUGUGUCGAGGUGCCUAAAGGGCAGACCGGGCUGCUGGUGUCCAAGAUUACAGAAAUUGCUCCUUUUGUUGGUUAUGCACAAAAUGAGCAGCAAACAGAAAAGAAGAGGCUGCGUGAUGUUUUAAAGCACGGUGAUGUCUAUUUCAACAGCGGUGAUCUGCUAAAGAUCGAUCAUGACAACUUCAUCUACUUCCAGGAUCGAGUGGGAGACACAUUCAGGUAUUUCCUUAACAUCAUGCUGUCAGAGAUCAGAUUAAGUGAAUAUGCGUGGUGAUUGGUGGAGGCUGAAGUGAAUCUGCGAGGUGAUUGGUGGAGGCUGAAGUGAAUAUGCGUGGUGAUUGGUGGAGGCUGGAGUGAAUCUGUGAGGUGAUUGGUGGAGGCUGAAGUGAAUCUGCGAGGUGAUUGGUGGAGGCUGAAGUGAAUAUGCGUGGUGAUUGGUGGAGGCUGGAGUGAAUCUGCGAGGUGAUUGGUGGAGGCUGAAGUGAAUCUGCGAGGUGAUUGGUGGAGGCUGAAGUGAAUCUGCGAGGUGAUUGGUGGAGGCUGGAGUGAAUCUGCGAGGUGAUUGGUGGAGGCUGAAGUGAAUCUGCGAGGUGAUUGGUGGAGGCUGAAGUGAAUAUGCGUGGUGAUUGGUGGAGGCUGGAGUGAAUCUGCGAGGUGAUUGGUGGAGGCUGAAGUGAAUAUGCGAGGUGAUUGGUGGAGGCUGGAGUGAAUCUGUGAGGUGAUUGGUGGAGGCUGAAGUGAAUCUGCGAGGUGAUUGGUGGAGGCUGAAGUGAAUAUGCGAGGUGAUUGGUGGAGGCUGGAGUGAAUCUGUGAGGUGAUUGGUGGAGGCUGAAGUGAAUCUGCGAGGUGAUUGGUGGAGGCUGGAGUGAAUGUGAAUCUGUGCAGAUGGAAGGGAGAGAAUGUGGCCACCACUGAAGUCUCUGACAUCAUCAGCUUGCUUGACUUUGUAGAAGAGGCAAACGUCUACGGAGUUCGAGUUCCAG